RNAcentral lists this ribosomal RNA (253 nucleotides) under uncultured bacterium. Its description in RNAcentral is "partial 16S ribosomal RNA". It matches the Rfam family "Bacterial small subunit ribosomal RNA", at positions 524 to 776 of the family's 1533-position model. The record is from RNAcentral.
UACAGAGGGUGCGAGCGUUAAUCGGAAUUACUGGGCGUAAAGCGCGCGUAGGCGGCUUUGCAAGUCGGGUGUGGAAUCUCCAGGCUUAACCUGGGAACUGCAUUCGAGACUGCAUUGCUAGAGUAUGGGAGAGGGAAGUGGAAUUUCAGGUGUAGCGGUGAAAUGCGUAGAUAUCUGAAGGAACAUCAGUGGCGAAAGCGACUUCCUGGACCAAUACUGACGCUCAUGUGCGAAAGCGUGGGGAGCAAACAGG